RNAcentral lists this long non-coding RNA (226 nucleotides) under Lathyrus oleraceus (garden pea). RNAcentral's name for it is "Pisum sativum (pea) long non-coding RNA (PSAT_LNC014189)". Lineage: Eukaryota; Viridiplantae; Streptophyta; Magnoliopsida; Fabales; Fabaceae. The record is from RNAcentral.
UUCAAUCCAAUUACAUACGAAGCCUCUGACUAGAAGAUUUGAAUUAAAGGCAAAUACUAUUUGAUGUGGAAGAAGUAAAAAAAUAAAUCUACUUUCAAGUAAAGAAGCUUUUCAUGUCUCAUCAUUACAUUCUUUCUACGGCAAGCGCCACUCUAAUUUUGAAAAUGAAGUGACCUUCAAACAAAAAAUACUUUGAGGACAAUUCCUAUUCGACCCUCCAAUGAAU